RNAcentral lists this long non-coding RNA (245 nucleotides) under Elaeis guineensis (African oil palm). RNAcentral's name for it is "long non-coding RNA (EGUI_LNC009210)". Lineage: Eukaryota; Viridiplantae; Streptophyta; Magnoliopsida; Arecales; Arecaceae. The record is from RNAcentral.
GCAGGUUGGGUCUAGGUUGGAUCAAGUAAAGUAUUUAAUACCCAGGUUUAAAGUUCCAGGCAUGCAGGGUGGCAAUCUUGGUACUACCACAAAUCCAAUGUUUUUCCAUGUAGCAAAAUAUGUUUUAGUUUGCUUGUCCUUCGUGGCAAUUGAGGAUUGGUGGACAACACAAGGAUAGAUGUCUUUUUAGCAUUUUUCAUAGUUAAAGGAGUUUUUGAGUGAAGAAAUAGCCUACGGAAAGUGGG